CUGAAGGGCGCGUCCGGGUCAAUUGCGGCUUGCAACACCCGAUCUCCCUCAACACACCUCCCGACGUGGAGGUCGCCGAGGGGGAGCGCGUGACCAUCAG
Natronobacterium gregoryi SP2 is the source of this 100-nucleotide non-coding RNA. NCBI's taxonomy places the organism in Archaea, Methanobacteriati, Methanobacteriota, Halobacteria, Halobacteriales, Natrialbaceae. The record is from Rfam.